UUGGAGGGCAAGUCUGGUGCCNGCAGCCGCGGUAAUUCCAGCUCCAAUAGCGUAUAUUAAAGUUGUUGCAGUUAAAAAGCUCGUAGUUGAACCUUGGGUCUGGCUGGCCGGUCCGCCUCACCGCGUGCACUGGUCCGGCCGGGCCUUUCCUUCUGGGGAGCCCCAUGGCCUUCACUGGCUGUGGGGGGAACCAGGACUUUUACUGUGAAAAAAUUAGAGUGUUCAAAGCAGGCCUUUGCUCGGAUACAUUAGCAUGGAAUAAUAGAAUAGGA
This 272-nucleotide ribosomal RNA is filed under the name uncultured Ascomycota. RNAcentral describes it as "partial 18S ribosomal RNA". It matches the Rfam family "Eukaryotic small subunit ribosomal RNA", at positions 548 to 827 of the family's 1831-position model. The record is from RNAcentral. Lineage: Eukaryota; Fungi; Ascomycota.